UAGAGGGCAUCUUGGUAAUUUUCCAUGCCUGCUGAACAUAAGAAGCCAACACUGGGAAAACGGCAGAAGUGCAGAACGACGUAACAGCCACAAAGAGAGAGAGGGAGCGCGGCAUCGGAGAGAGAGAGCGGCGUCGACGAGAGAGAGCGACCGGUGCAGGAGUAGAGGGCGGCGAGGGAUGUUAGCUCGGAGGCUGCCAUGGCUCUGACAGUGACGACGGUUAAACGGCUAGGGUUCCGAUUAAGUUCCGGCAUCUUUCCGGUGACGAUGGUUAAACGGCUAGGGUUCCGAUCAAGUUCUGGCAUCUUUCCGGUAAUCUCCGGUGAGGUUCCAGCGAAGAUUCCAGGGAACGAACUUUAAGAUGCAUGUUUCUUUUUCGAGUAGAUCAACAAACCCCAAGGUUAGGUUCUGUGAUUUAGCGGAAUGAACAUGGAAACCCACCACAGACCUGCAUCUCUAACCACGUGUCGUUGCCUCAGGAUCUUUGAUCCCACGUGUUCAUUCCCUCUACCUGUUAUUAACAGUAGAGAGAGAUAUUGAAGGGCUGGACCGGUGACCUCCCUACGGACGCAUUUGGAAUCGAUUGACCGGUGUUUGGUGGUGUCCGAUCACGGCAGUAGUCACGGUCACGACGAGUGAUACGGUGACGGUUAAGAGGGGAAUCCGGUGGUAGCAGGUGCAAAGGUGUUCUUGGAUCAAGUUGAACUUCCAGCGAAUAAACCCUGGUUUCUGGCGAAGCUCCGUUGAACUGAUCAAGACUUGCAUGUUUCAGAUCUAUGUUGAUCGGUGACUCUCAGGCAACCCUUGACAGGACAAAGUUGGUAAGAGUUGGUCAAUACAGAAGUUAUGGAGGAGUUCUUUGGUGGAAAUCGAUUCAGGUUGGAAAGGGUUUAUAGGGAAGUACAGAGGAGGGGGAUCGGAGGGGUCGGAUUCGAGAUAAAAUCUCCUGUCCAGAAGGGGCAACAAGUUGAUAAGAAACCAGAGGCAGCGCUUAUCAAUGAAGGAAUUUGAAAAGGAUGCAACAGCAACAGUAGAGAAAGAAAGAGGUUGCUUUGAUGGUUAUGGCGGCAGUGCAGACCUGUAAAUUUAUAGCUUCUUUAGAAAAGUGGAUAGCUGUUAGAAGGAUGAGUACAAGGAUUCUUCCAAACAGGUAUAAUAUAGGUAAAUGAAAAUCAUCCCAAUCUUCUAAAUAAACUAUCUAUCGGAAGUUUUUUGUAUUGAAAAGACUAAAUGGUUGUCUGCAAUACAUGCAUGGUUCAAAUUGUAGGCUUGGAAGCUUUUAUACUAUUGUCAUUCUCCCUGUUUGGGAGCACCAUGGCCUUUUUUAAACCAAGACCCCUAUCAUAACAUAGCAAAAGAUUUUUUUGGUUGCGGUUCAAUAACAACAUUCAACAAGGCACAACAAAGUUUGUCGUCAACCAGGUUUUCUGACCGACCCUACCAAAAGCUCUUGAUUUACCGAGUGAAUGGGUAUUUUUAAAUUAUUAUAGAAAAUUGUGUAGGGCCACUAUUAAUUUCAAAAUCUAUUAAAUAAGGAUCCGUCAUCAGCAUGCUAAUUGUUAAGAAGUUGGGUUGAUGAAGGACUUGAUCAUUUAAAAGAACUAAAUAGAAAUUGAAUGGUACUUGAUAAAUACACUCUGUUGAUCAGCCAAUAUCAUAUGUUGUUAUAAGAAUACAACCAGAUAUGCAAUAUGUAUUGUUUUUAGAAAAUGUCUUUUUACAUUUAUAAAACAAAAAAAGCAUACAGAAAGCGUUAGAUUUGAUACAGUUUUAUACAAUAUGAUUCGACACACAAAGGCUUCGUCUCACCUGUAAUUGUUUACGUAGUUGGACUACCCAGUCCCCUCAACCCGAGCAUACUUAUGGGGGUCCCUCGUCCCACAAGCACGCCAUUAUUUGCGGUUGUGUGUUCAAACCGCACUGGAUAUAUACUUUAAGAGUAUACAGGGCUCUUUAUAUUAUACGGGGGUUAUUGGCGUGUGAUAGAAAUAAUCAUAAUAAUAAUAAUGCUCUUGGUUGGUUUGGUGUGAAUAACCACACCCUAUCACACACUUGACGCGUAAACCAGCUACAUAUGACCCAUGACCAUUUUUAUUUGUAUGAAAGCUCUAGGUACGUCCGUAAUCAUUAUUUCCGCUCACUGAUUGAUACUAUUGGUUUUACUUUAGCUAAUCAUCUUGGAACCGUGAUGCGCUAUCUUUUUUAUGGCCUUCUCAGAGGGUUUUAAAAUGUGAAUCAUGAUCGAAAAACUAUUAUUCGUUUGGCUGGAUGUGCAUUUUGACGGUGGUUAUUAAUGUGAUAUUAAAUAAUUAUUAUAAUCUGAUAACUUUAAUUAAACUGUUUUGUAGUAAUAAUUAAUUAUUUGGCUUCAAAUAAUAGAAGUAGAAUUUGUUUAUACAUUAUUGAUUCUGGCUUGCAAUUAUUUUGUCAUGUUGUUGGAAAUUGGAUGAAGCUUCACAGUUGCGGAUGCAAAUAGGAAUGCUGGAAUUAAUGGCCUAAACAAUUAAAGAGGUUUCACAUAACAGUAUACCGUUACUCAACAAUGAACAUGAGGAUACGGAUGAGUUAUCUACUUCUUCCCUUCAACGCCUUUCAGUAUCCUCUCCGCUAUCCGGUGGUGAAAGACUCAUACAUUCUCUCCAUUAUUCUGCAUAUAUAAAUAGAUCCCGUAUGUCUUUUAUGCUUCAAUAAAUAAAAUGGGUGUUAUAGUUGAUGGAUGGAAAAUGAAACAAGACAAGAAUGUUGUUCGAAUGACAACUAGCCGCAUUGCUUCCAAAAGGGGUCUAGCUGAGAUUGUAUGGGCAUGUCCAAAUUUACGAGUACUUGAUGUUUAUACAAUACACAUUUGUAUAUUUUUAUUAACACGUUGGUUGGUUGCACUUGGAUUGAUGAUUUGGUCAUGCUUGAUCUUGGUUAAAAUGGCAAGAGAGAAACAUGCUUGGGAUUUUGAAUAUUCUCAACUGAAUUUAUUUCCUUUUUAUUCA
Long non-coding RNA from Helianthus annuus (common sunflower), 2984 nucleotides. RefSeq lists it as uncharacterized. The transcript is spliced from 5 exons. Lineage: Eukaryota; Viridiplantae; Streptophyta; Magnoliopsida; Asterales; Asteraceae. The record is from RefSeq and is a predicted model, not a curated record.